Molecule: ribosomal RNA, 383 nt
Filed under: uncultured bacterium
Lineage: Bacteria
Description: bacterial SSU rRNA
Rfam family: Bacterial small subunit ribosomal RNA
Source: RNAcentral
ACGCUGGCGGCGUGCUUAACACAUGCAAGUCGAGCGGUAAGGCCCUUUCGGGGGUACACGAGCGGCGAACGGGUGAGUAACACGUGGGUGACCUGCCCUCAGCUCUGGGAUAAGCCUGGGAAACCGGGUCUAAUACUGGAUAUGACUCCAUGACGCAUGUUGUGGGGUGGAAAGCCUUGUGCGGCUGAGGAUGGGCCCGCGGCCUAUCAGCUUGUUGGUGGGGUGAUGGCCUACCAAGGCGACGACGGGUAGCCGGCCUGAGAGGGCGACCGGCCACACUGGGACUGAGACACGGCCCAGACUCCUACGGGAGGCAGCAGUGGGGAAUCUUGCGCAAUGGGCGAAAGCCUGACGCAGCGACGCCGCGUGAGGGAUGACGGCCU